AUUCAUGUUAUUGGAUUUGGCAAUAGAUUGUCGAUGAUAUGUAGUAGCUUGCUCCAAUUAAAAGUGUAACUACAAAACUUGCUGGAUACAUACUUUACCACCCACUGGACACACUAAAGAAAACAUGCAAAUGAGUUUUUUAUUAAAAAGUCAACAUGUGAACAUUUUCACAUUGCCAUGACACAUACAAAUGGACAAAUGGAUCAUUCCCUGUAAGAGGUGUGGGGAUUCAUUUAUCUUGAAAGAUGAGAAACUGGCCAGCCACAUUGUGCCACAUCCUGGUGGAGCAAUUAUUAAAAUGCCUGUUGAGCUUCUACUGCUGGAGCCCAGACUCCUCUGAAAAGAUGACAAAGAAUCUGACCCUCUGCUUCCUGCUGCUGCUCUUCCCACAACGGUCCUUUCAUUCACUUGUUCAACAAACAUUUACUGACUGCUGACUACAUGCCCUUUCCUUUUUGUCACC
Molecule: long non-coding RNA, 463 nt
Filed under: Chinchilla lanigera (long-tailed chinchilla)
Lineage: Eukaryota; Metazoa; Chordata; Mammalia; Rodentia; Chinchillidae
Description: lncRNA (ENSCLAG00000027275.1)
Source: RNAcentral